CCUACGGGAGGCAGCAGUGAGGAAUAUUGGUCAAUGGACGCAAGUCUGAACCAGCCAUGCCGCGUGCAGGAAGACGGCUCUAUGAGUUGUAAACUGCUUUUGUACGAGGGUAAACGCCGAUACGCGUAUCUGUCUGCACGUAUCGUACGAUUAAGGAUCGGCUAACUCCGUGCCAGCAGCCGCGGUAAUACGGAGGAGCCAAGCGUUAUCCGGAUUUAUUGGGUUUAAAGGGUGCGUAGGCGGACGGAUAAGUUAGAGGUGAAAGCCCGGGGCUCAACUUCGGAAUUGCCUGGGAUACUGUUCGGCUGGAGAGUAGUUGAGGUAGGCGGAAUUUAUGGUGUAGCGGUGAAAGGCGUAGAGAUCA
This 364-nucleotide ribosomal RNA is filed under the name uncultured bacterium. RNAcentral's name for it is "partial 16S ribosomal RNA". It matches the Rfam family "Bacterial small subunit ribosomal RNA", at positions 338 to 699 of the family's 1533-position model. The record is from RNAcentral.